GAUGAACGCUGGCGGCGUGCCUAAUACAUGCAAGUCGAGCGAACGGACGAGAAGCUUGCUUCUCUGAUGUUAGCGGCGGACGGGUGAGUAACACGUGGAUAACCUACCUAUAAGACUGGGAUAACUUCGGGAAACCGGAGCUAAUACCGGAUAAUAUUUUGAACCGCAUGGUUCAAAAGUGAAAGACGGUCUUGCUGUCACUUAUAGAUGGAUCCGCGCUGCAUUAGCUAGUUGGUAAGGUAACGGCUUACCAAGGCAACGAUGCAUAGCCGACCUGAGAGGGUGAUCGGCCACACUGGAACUGAGACACGGUCCAGACUCCUACGGGAGGCAGCAGUAGGGAAUCUUCCGCAAAGGGCGAAAGCCUGACGGAGCAACGCCGCGUGAGUGAUGAAGGUCUUCGGAUCGUAAAACUCUGUUAUUAGGGAAGAACAGAUGUGUAAGUAACUGUGCACAUCUUGACGGUACCUAAUCAGAAAGCCACGGCUAACUACGUG
This 497-nucleotide ribosomal RNA is filed under the name uncultured bacterium. Its description in RNAcentral is "partial 16S ribosomal RNA". It matches the Rfam family "Bacterial small subunit ribosomal RNA", at positions 28 to 507 of the family's 1533-position model. The record is from RNAcentral.